UUGCGGUUCUUAGUAAUUUCU
This is a non-coding RNA of Caenorhabditis elegans, 21 nucleotides long. Lineage: Eukaryota; Metazoa; Nematoda; Chromadorea; Rhabditida; Rhabditidae. The record is from Ensembl.